AUCUAUGGUCAUACCACCCUGAAUGUGUCCCAUCUCAUCUAAACUCAGAAGCUAAGUAGCAUUGGGCCUGAUUAGUACUUGAAUGGGAAAGUCUAGGAGAUUUAGUAUGGGGUGACAAUGAAUA
RNAcentral lists this ribosomal RNA (124 nucleotides) under Carlito syrichta (Philippine tarsier). The record is from RNAcentral. Lineage: Eukaryota; Metazoa; Chordata; Mammalia; Primates; Tarsiidae.